RNAcentral lists this ribosomal RNA (137 nucleotides) under uncultured bacterium. Its description in RNAcentral is "partial 16S ribosomal RNA". It matches the Rfam family "Eukaryotic small subunit ribosomal RNA", at positions 411 to 552 of the family's 1831-position model. The record is from RNAcentral.
UACUCCUACGGGAGGCAGCAGGCGCGCAAAUUACCCACUCCCGACUCGGGGAGGUAGUGACGAAAAAUAACAAUACAGGACUCUUUCGAGGCCCUGUAAUUGGAAUGAGUACACUUAAUCCUAACGAGAUCAUGGGC